This 1208-nucleotide long non-coding RNA is filed under the name Anolis carolinensis (green anole). RNAcentral's name for it is "lncRNA (ENSACAG00000042383.1)". The record is from RNAcentral. Lineage: Eukaryota; Metazoa; Chordata; Lepidosauria; Squamata; Anolidae.
AUGCCUGCCAUAGAUGUGGGCGAAACGUCAGGAGAGAAUACUUCUGGAACAUGGCCACACAGCCCGAAAGACAUACAACAACCCUGUGAUCCCGGCCAUGAAAGCCUUCGACAACACAUAGUCCAAACAAGACAUCAAGAAUUAAUCCAAGGUAUGAGUCAAACUGGAACACAGGAAGCCAAAGCUGGAACACAGGAACAAAUCUUCAAGUUUAGUCCAAGGUACAAGGUUAAUGCUGGAACACAAGGCAAGGGUCUUGGUCAGAGCAGAAAUCCAAACUGCAAGGUUACUGGAACAUUCAACUGGAUACACAGAAAUACCCAGAAACAAGAACAAGGCUGGCACUAGAAUCAAGAUACAAAACUGCAGGAAAUAACAUGGAAUUCACAGGAGCACAAAGCAGAUAUCUUCCUCUCUUGGAUAAGCAAAGUUACCACCUCUGACUCUGUCAGAGAAAGUAGCCUUCUUAAGGGAAAUUCAAGGUCUCUUCCUGUGAGAAGUCUGCUCAUUAUUUAGUUCAAAAGCAAUUGUUUACCUUCUUCUGACACACACCCAUUCUUUCCCUUUGCUGAGUUAUCACCUUCCUUCUGUCAAGCUCAUUAGCCCUAUCCGCCUUAUCACUUUUAGAAUCCGAACUAGAAUGUCCAUCUGGCACCAAGAGCUCCAACCUUAACUCCUUUGAGGAAUGUGGUUCAAGCUGCCUGCUUGAAACCAUUAUUUCUCUAGUCCCGGAAUCCACUUUCAUAGGUAUGUCAAUAUUUUUGUGUCAGCUCACCACAGCCGCUCCUGAAUGAACACACGAGACUCUCUGUGAUAUCACCAGAAACUUUACUGCAGGAAACAUAAACAUCCGAAAAGCCAAGAAUGGGAGACUCCGGCCAACCAUCCUUUAUAUACCCUCCCCCUCAUUUGAAAAGUCUCUUCCCGCUCAGUAAAACCCCGCGCAAAUUCCCCGCCAAGUCCAGCAGCCGUUUCUUCUCCGAGUUCUGAGACGCAGGUGUCUUAUCAAUGUCAGUGACCCUGAAACUCAGAGCCACAUACAGGCUCUAGUAGCAGGGUUCUGACAUGGCGUCCUCCUCCCCUUCGUCCUGGAAGGAAAAGAUUAAACACAACUAUUGUUCUCCGCUGUCCAGAGUUCCUUUAUACUUUUUUAACAGGCUGCAAUGGAAUAGCAGGGUGUACCUUUCCUAGGUCCUUGGGUAGCCUCA